ACCUGGGAUAGCUUAGUCGGGAUAGAGCGUGAGACUCAAUGUCAGGAUCAUGGGUUCGAGCCCCAGGUUGGGCA
Podarcis lilfordi (Lilford's wall lizard) is the source of this 74-nucleotide non-coding RNA. Lineage: Eukaryota; Metazoa; Chordata; Lepidosauria; Squamata; Lacertidae. The record is from the annotation of a GenBank genome assembly.